AACGGGUGAGUAACACGUGGAUAACCUGCCUCAAGGCUGGGGAUAACAUUUGGAAACAGAUGCUAAUACCGAAUAAAACUUAGUAUCGCAUGAUACAAAGUUGAAAGGCGCUACGGCGUCACCUAGAGAUGGGUCCGCGGUGCAUUAGUUAGUUGGUGGGGUAAAGGCCUACCAAGACAAUGAUGCAUAGCCGAGUUGAGAGACUGAUCGGCCACAUUGGGACUGAGACACGGCCCAAACUCCUACGGGAGGCUGCAGUAGGGAAUCUUCCACAAUGGGCGCAAGCCUGAUGGAGCAACGCCGCGUGUGUGAUGAAGGCUUUCGGGUCGUAAAGCACUGUUGUAUGGGAAGAAAUGCUAGAAUAGGGAAUGAUUCUAGUUCGACGGUACCAUACCAGAAAGGGACGGCUAAAUACGUGCCAGCAGCCGCGGUAAUACGUAUGUCCCGAGCGUUAUCCGGAUUUAUUGGGCGUAGAGCGAGCGCAGACGGUUGAUUAAGUCUGAUGUGAAAGCCCGGAGCUCAACUCCGGAAUGGCAUUGGAAACUGGUUAACUUGAGUGUUGUAGAGGUAAGUGGAACUCCAUGUGUAGCGGUGGAAUGCGUAGAUAUAUGGAAGAACACCAGUGGCGAAGGCGGCUUACUGGACAACAACUGACGUUGAGGCUCGAAAGUGUGGGUAGCAAACAGGAUUAGAUACCCUGGUAGUCCACACCGUAAACGAUGAAUACUAGGUGUUAGGAGGUUUCCGCCUCUUAGUGCCGAAGCUAACGCAUUAAGUAUUCCGCCUGGGGAGUACGACCGCAAGGUUGAAACUCAAAGGAAUUGACGGGGACCCGCACAAGCGGUGGAGCAUGUGGUUUAAUUCGAAGCAACGCGAAGAACCUUACCAGGUCUUGACAUCCUUUGAAGC
This 909-nucleotide ribosomal RNA is filed under the name uncultured Leuconostoc sp. Its description in RNAcentral is "bacterial SSU rRNA". It matches the Rfam family "Bacterial small subunit ribosomal RNA", at positions 101 to 997 of the family's 1533-position model. The record is from RNAcentral. Lineage: Bacteria; Bacillati; Bacillota; Bacilli; Lactobacillales; Lactobacillaceae.